ACUAUGCCUGAGCGGGGUA
This 19-nucleotide small RNA is filed under the name Arabidopsis thaliana (thale cress). RNAcentral describes it as "Ath_wt_21253". Lineage: Eukaryota; Viridiplantae; Streptophyta; Magnoliopsida; Brassicales; Brassicaceae. The record is from RNAcentral.